Molecule: long non-coding RNA, 422 nt
Filed under: Chrysolophus pictus (golden pheasant)
Lineage: Eukaryota; Metazoa; Chordata; Aves; Galliformes; Phasianidae
Description: lncRNA (ENSCPIG00010004329.1)
Source: RNAcentral
GUUGCUUUUGGUGGUGGUGAUUGUUUACUUUCCCCCUCUGGCUGAUUACACUGUAAAAUAGUUCUCACUCGUCUUCCUUAUCCCCCAUCCCGGAAGAACAGAAGUUGUAAAAGUUCCUGAUGAGUUAUGUGCACACUUCUACAUUUUCAGGUUAUAAAGUGUUUCUAAAUGAUUACUUUGCUUCAUUUUAGUAGCUCCUCUUGAUGUUGUCAAAACUCGACUGCAAGCCCAAAGCAAUCCGUUCCCCAAAGGAAAAUGUUUUGUAUACUCCAGUGGCCAGAUGGAUCAUACGUGUGUUUGUGAGAAUGGAGAUGGCAAGGCAUGCUAUAAAAGAAAUGGGCAUUUCAAAGGGACAUUGGAUGCUUUUGUGAAAAUUAUUCAAAUAGAGGGAAUUAAGUCUCUCUGGAGUGGACUUUCCCCGA